This 382-nucleotide long non-coding RNA is filed under the name Phasianus colchicus (ring-necked pheasant). RNAcentral's name for it is "lncRNA (ENSPCLG00000006665.1)". Lineage: Eukaryota; Metazoa; Chordata; Aves; Galliformes; Phasianidae. The record is from RNAcentral.
AGCCUAUGGACAUGUGUGAUCAGUGGGGAGACUGAAUCCAACAUGAUCCUUCCACUUAGAGACAUUCUGUACCCUAAGACAGCAAGCAUUUGUGGGGAAGAGCGAGCUGGAGGAACCUGCCCUAGGGAAUCUGCACCAUGUUUGAGUACAGGCUGGAUAGGACUUGCAUGCCACGACAAUUUGUCUUUGAUCUCCAGAGAUCAUGAAUGCCUGAAAUGGUGCUGCAGACACUAAGAAUGCAAGAAAGAACUUUCAAAUCAAGAAUUUCAGGAGGAAAGCUGCUGCAGCGCGUCAAGCAUGUGGAACAUUUUAACAAGGAGUUUUUAAUGAAUCCCUGGGAAGAAAGUGCCCUCGAAAACAAUACUUCAGUACAUAAGUACUU